RNAcentral lists this transfer RNA (85 nucleotides) under Felis catus (domestic cat). It matches the Rfam family "tRNA". Rfam says of the family: Transfer RNA (tRNA) molecules are approximately 80 nucleotides in length. Their secondary structure includes four short double-helical elements and three loops (D, anti-codon, and T loops). Lineage: Eukaryota; Metazoa; Chordata; Mammalia; Carnivora; Felidae. The record is from Rfam by way of RNAcentral.
GCCUGGGUGGCUCAGUCGGUUAAGCAUCCGACUUCGGCUCAGGUCAUGAUCCUACGGUUCGUGGGUUCGAGCCCCGCAUCGGGCU